Molecule: long non-coding RNA, 958 nt
Organism: Suncus etruscus (white-toothed pygmy shrew)
Lineage: Eukaryota; Metazoa; Chordata; Mammalia; Eulipotyphla; Soricidae
Exons: 3
Source: RefSeq, a predicted model, not a curated record
AAUUCAAAUGACUCACAACAUUUUUAAGCAACAGGCAAUGCAGAGCAUUGUAGAAGUCUGAAUGCCAAGUUCAUAUUUAUAACCUAUUCAGCUUUGAAUAUAUUCACUUAGCUUGAAAGGGACUGGAGGUGUGAAGUUAGACAUCAGGGCUUUGCAGAGUCCCUUGGAAGUGUUGGCACCAUUUUCUUUUUCCCUUCAGCCUCUGCCAAAGAACCUGGAUUCCAGGACAUGACCUUCUGCCUUUGAUGUAGCUGCUGAUGCUCACCCUAGUAAUCACUCUCCCCUAAGCCACUGCCCUUUGAUGUUUCACUGAACCCCAAUAACACGUUCUUUUAAGCCACUGGUUGUUUUAUUUUAUAUUAUAUAGAAAUUGAUCAAGUCUGUUCACAUCUCAGAUGGUUUCUUACCAUAUCCAGGAAUGAAUAUUCAUUCUCUCCUCCCAAGAAAUCAGCAGAGAUAAAAUAGGCCUGACAUGUUUUAGUAUGGAAAUUAAUUUGAUGGCUGAAACCCAGGAGUACUGGGGAAACUGGGCCUUCUAGAUCUUCAGGGUUUGGUUAAGAUGGAUCCAUGUGACUGUCUAGCAACAAAUACAUGAGAUAGAUUAUAGAUAAAAAUAGGCAGAUGUAUAAAGGUAGAUAAGUGUCUGUUCUUCAACUAUCUAAAGCAGAAUACUCAAAGUAAGUAAAAUCUUGGCCAGAACCAUAGUAUAUAUAACAGGUAGGGCAUUUGCCUUCCAUGUGGCCAAUCCAGGUUCAAUCCCUGGCACCCCAUACGAUCCCAUGAGCACUGUUAGGAGUGAUCCCUGUGCACAGAGCCAGGAAUACAAAAGCACUGAGCACCACAGGUGUGGCCCUAAAACAAAACAACAAGGGGCCGGUGAGGUGGCACUAGAGUAGGGCAUUUGCCUUGCAUGUGGCUCACCCAGGAUGGACCACGGUUUGAUUCCUCAGUGUCCCCC